CCUACGGGGCGCAGCAGUGAGGAAUAUUGGUCAAUGGACGGAAGUCUGAACCAGCCAUGCCGCGUGCAGGAAGACGGCUCUAUGAGUUGUAAACUGCUUUUGUACAAGGGUAAACCUGAAUACGUGUAUUCAGCUGAAAGUACCGUACGAAUAAGGAUCGGAGAAACACGUGCCAGCAGCCGCGGUAAUACGGAGGAUCCAAGCGUUAUCCGGAUUUAUUGGGUUUAAAGGGUGCGUAGGCGGAUUGAUAAGUUAGAGGUGAAAUGUCCGAGCUUAACUCGGGAACUGCCGCUAAUACUGUUGAUGUAGAGAGUAGGUGCGGUAGGCGGAAUGUAUGGUGUAGCGGUGAAAUGCUUAGAGAUCAUACAGAACACCGAUUGCGAAGGCAGCGUACCAAUCUAUAUCUGACGUUGAGGCACGAAAGCGUGGGGAGCAAACAGGAUUAGAUACCCGUGUAGUC
Molecule: ribosomal RNA, 460 nt
Filed under: uncultured bacterium
Lineage: Bacteria
Description: partial 16S ribosomal RNA
Rfam family: Bacterial small subunit ribosomal RNA
Source: RNAcentral